AGAGAGGAUGUGGAGAAAAGGGAACGCUCAUACACGGCUGGUGGGAAUGCAAACUGGUGCAGCCACUAUGGAAAACAGUAUGGAGAUUCCUCAAAA
Molecule: non-coding RNA, 96 nt
Organism: Ceratotherium simum simum (southern white rhinoceros)
Lineage: Eukaryota; Metazoa; Chordata; Mammalia; Perissodactyla; Rhinocerotidae
Source: RefSeq, a predicted model, not a curated record